GGCGGACGGGUGAGUAACGCGUAGGAAUCUACCUGGUAGUGGGGGACAACUCGGGGAAACUCGAGCUAAUACCGCAUACGCCCUACGGGGGAAAGCGGGGGACCUUUGGGCCUCGCGCUAUCAGAUGAGCCUGCGUUGGAUUAGCUAGUUGGUGGGGUAAUGGCCUACCAAGGCGACGAUCCAUAGCUGGUCUGAGAGGAUGAUCAGCCACACCGGGACUGAGACACGGCCCGGACUCCUACGGGAGGCAGCAGUGGGGAAUAUUGCGCAAUGGGCGAAAGCCUGACGCAGCCAUGCCGCGUGUGUGAAGAAGGCCUUCGGGUUGUAAAGCACUUUCAAUUGGGAGGAAAGGUUCACGGCUAAUACCCGUGAGCUGUGACGUUACCUUUAGAAGAAGCACCGGCUAACUCCGUGCCAGCAGCCGCGGUAAUACGGAGGGUGCGAGCGUUAAUCGGAAUUACUGGGCGUAAAGCGCGC
This 477-nucleotide ribosomal RNA is filed under the name uncultured Methylococcaceae bacterium. Its description in RNAcentral is "bacterial SSU rRNA". It matches the Rfam family "Bacterial small subunit ribosomal RNA", at positions 97 to 570 of the family's 1533-position model. The record is from RNAcentral. Lineage: Bacteria; Pseudomonadati; Pseudomonadota; Gammaproteobacteria; Methylococcales; Methylococcaceae.